Molecule: ribosomal RNA, 404 nt
Filed under: uncultured archaeon
Lineage: Archaea
Description: bacterial SSU rRNA
Rfam family: Archaeal small subunit ribosomal RNA
Source: RNAcentral
GGCAUACGGCUCAGUAACACGUAGUCAACAUGCCCAGGGGACGUGGAUAACCUCGGGAAACUGAGGAUAAACCGCGAUAGGCCAAGGUUUCUGGAAUGAGCCAUGGCCGAAAUCUACAUGGCCUUUGGAUUGGACUGCGGCCGAUCAGGCUGUUGGUGAGGUAAUGGCCCACCAAACCUGUAACCGGUACGGGCUUUGAGAGAAGGAGCCCGGAGAUGGGCACUGAGACAAGGGCCCAGGCCCUAUGGGGCGCAGCAGGCGCGAAACCUCUGCAAUAGGCGAAAGCCUGACAGGGUUACUCUGAGUGAUGCCCGCUAAGGGUAUCUUUUGGCACCUCUAAAAAUGGUGCAGAAUAAGGGGUGGGCAAGUCUGGUGUCAGCCGCCGCGGUAAUACCAGCACCCCC